RNAcentral lists this ribosomal RNA (253 nucleotides) under uncultured bacterium. Its description in RNAcentral is "partial 16S ribosomal RNA". It matches the Rfam family "Bacterial small subunit ribosomal RNA", at positions 524 to 776 of the family's 1533-position model. The record is from RNAcentral.
UACGUAGGGGGCGAGCGUUGUCCGGAAUCAUUGGGCGUAAAGAGCGCAUAGGCGGCCCGACAAGUCCGCUGUGAAAGUCAGGGGCUCAACCCUUGGAUGCCGGUGGAUACUGUCGGGCUAGAGUCCGGAAGAGGCGAGUGGAAUUCCUGGUGUAGCGGUGAAAUGCGCAGAUAUCAGGAGGAACACCGAUGGCGAAGGCAGCUCGCUGGGACGGUACUGACGCUGAGGCGCGAAAGCGUGGGGAGCGAACAGG